AACACGCCACACUGUCUGAAGGCAGUCGGCUUAACGAGAAACAAGAAUAUCCUACGUGUGGCUAAUUUGCGGUUAAGGAAGGCCCCAUGAUAUAUAAAGCCAAAAAAUAAAGCAAAACCGCAGCAGUUCAUUCAAAUUUUUUGUGGCCAAAACAAAUAUUAAGAUAAAAGUCAGUGGGGACUAUAAUUUGAGUUAUUCAAAUGCAAUAAAUCCGCGGAACCAAACGAGUUGCUAAUUUUACGUUAGACGCCCUUUAAUUUCACGCUGCCAUUUGUGGCUUCCGUUUCGUAUAAGUUUGGGUCGAUGAUUUUUAGAAUUUGCAUUUUCAAUUUGAAUAUAAAAAACCGCCGCUGCAGGUUUGCAGCUUUUAAAGUGAUCCGCAAUCUCAUUCCUAGUCAGUCGAAAAAAGUUCCAUUACCGAAUGACAUUUAUGAAGAAAUUGUGCAUAUUAAAUUGGGAUAUUGAUAAGUGAUAUCAUUGUUCCCAAGAAGUGAACGUCUAAACACAAAGGCAGACGGAUGAACAUUGCUAAAUGGACAGGCUUUCUUCUACCUCUUACAUACUUCUCAACGAAUCACAUAUACACUAUACUAUAAUGUGUUCACAAAAUACCAAAAAUGAUCAAGGUCUACACUCUAACGAUGUGCUGAAGUAGCUGCGCCGCAGAAAGAUAAAGCCUAAUGUGGAAAUACAAAUGUAAUUGCUUGCAGUUAAUUGACCCACAUACGAUUUCUAGCCAAGUCAAUGUCAAGUGUUGCUUCGGCUGACUUACUACAAAAGUUAAUUGCACUGCACGCACAUGCCAAAAGGUAAAAAGAGUCGCGAGCCUCGGCGACAGGCUUCCAAAACCCUGUAUAUCCACAUCACCAGACCUCAGGACCUCAACUUACGACUCUGGCUACGAGGCGCGUGUGUGCAAUAUCAGGUUUCCGCAUCGACUUGCAUAGUGAUUCGAGGAUGUGCGAAAAUAUGAUUUAAAUUAAGGGAUCAUCAGUUUGCAACAGACUAUUUGUAUACCUUCCUUUUAGAAUAUAUAUAUAUUUUUUAUAGAAAUAUGUAAUACUAGUUAAGUCUUCUAAAGGAAAUACAUUUUUACACGUU
This 1101-nucleotide small RNA is filed under the name Drosophila melanogaster (fruit fly). RNAcentral describes it as "yar variant 5". The stretch from base 738 to 812 matches the Rfam family "Yellow-achaete intergenic RNA conserved region 2". The record is from RNAcentral. Lineage: Eukaryota; Metazoa; Arthropoda; Insecta; Diptera; Drosophilidae.